RNAcentral lists this ribosomal RNA (432 nucleotides) under uncultured bacterium. RNAcentral describes it as "bacterial SSU rRNA". It matches the Rfam family "Bacterial small subunit ribosomal RNA", at positions 29 to 506 of the family's 1533-position model. The record is from RNAcentral.
ACGAACGCUGGCGGCAUGCCUAACACAUGCAAGUCGAACGAGGUCUUCGGGUCUAGUGGCGCACGGGUGCGUAACGCGUGGGAAUCUGCCCUCAGGUUCGGAAUAACCAUUGGAAACGAUGGCUAAUACCGGAUGAUGACGUUAAGUCCAAAGAUUUAUCGCCUGAGGAUGAGCCCGCGUAGGAUUAGCUAGUUGGUGUGGUAAAGGCGCACCAAGGCGACGAUCCUUAGCUGGUCUGAGAGGAUGAUCAGCCACACUGGGACUGAGACACGGUCCAGACUCCUACGGGAGGCAGCAGUGGGGAAUAUUGGACAAUGGGCGCAAGCCUGAUCCAGCAAUGCCGCGUGAGUGAUGAAGGCCUUAGGGUUGUAAAGCUCUUUUACCCGGGAUGAUAAUGACAGUACCGGGAGAAUAAGCUCCGGCUAACUCCGU